Molecule: non-coding RNA, 16117 nt
Organism: Rattus norvegicus (Norway rat)
Lineage: Eukaryota; Metazoa; Chordata; Mammalia; Rodentia; Muridae
Source: RefSeq, a predicted model, not a curated record
CCCAGCCCGCACACUCCCUGCUGCCGGGUCAACAGCGUUCUCUUUGUGUGUGAAGGACGGCUUACUGCUUCUGAUGACUCACAGGCAGGGAGUAGGAGGGAGAAAGUCUGAACACUGGCUAGAAGCGGCCCUUCUGCUCCCACAGGCACAGCCACAGUACAGCACGGAACAAAUGAUUCAAACUCUGCUCCACAGCCUUCACCUGUGAACCCCGAUGUGUGCGGUGGAAACCGCUCCAAUGCUACCCGCCCUCGUAUCUCAGGUAAAAAUCAAAGAUGCAGGAAGUCUGACUACUUUUACGGGGGAAAGCACUCUCCCAAAAUGAUAAGAAGAACAGAAGAAAACAAAAACCAAGAUAUUUUUAAUGGACAGUUAAGCCAUAGGAUAAAGCUCUGCUCUUGGAAGCUGGCAUGGCGCCUGGUGGGUUUGAAACCACAAAGGGGUUAAUGAGAAAUCUUCCAGUCUAUCACAAUCUGGAGAGGAUUAGGACCGUCUAGACACACACACUCACUCUCUCUCUCACACACACACACAAAAAUACACACGCACACACAAAUACACACGCACACAAAUACACACACAAACACACACACACAAAUACACAUACACACAAAUACACACACACUCACUCACACACACACUCACUCACACACACAAAUACACACACACACAAAUACACACACACAAAUACACACACAAAUAUACACACAUAAAUACACACACAAAUACACACACACUCACUCACACACACAAAUACACACACACACAAAUACACACACACAAAUACAUACACACACACACACACACACACACACAGGCCACAAUGAAUACACAUCUGUGAUUCCAGCUAUGGGAAGGGCAGAGAGAGGCAGAGAGAGAGGCAGAGAGAGAGAGAGAGAGAGAGAGAGAGAGAGAGAGAGAGAGAGAGAUGUGUUGAGCUUCACCCAGGCUUCAGAGAGAGCUGAAGGGUAGCCUGGGUACAUCAGUGAGAUCACAGUCUCAAAAGGCACUAACCAGCCUGGGGCUCUAGCUGAGUGGCAUGGUGCUCGUGCCCUAGGAACUAGGUAUUGUCCCAGUAACACAAACAAGUAAGUAAAUGAAUGAGGAUAAACGGACAGGAACUGAGCUUGCUGGGCCAUGAGCUGUCCCUCAUGCAGCUCCUCUGUGGAUACACACACCCGGAUAGUAAGGGGGCAGGGAUAAGAGAGCUCCAGGCUGGGCCUUGCAAGCCCAGGGUAGGAGGCUGGGUGUGACUUAGUUAAAACUUACAGGGUGAUGUCGCAGAGCAUGGCGCUGUCCCUGUAUCAGGGUGAGCGGUGUCUUGGAGGCUCCGAUCAGGAAGUCCUCUCUACCCUGUGGCAGAGUGCCAACACCGCCAGCGGGUAAUGUGUCCGUGGUGGUCUUUGGAGUCUGUCUAGUGGUACAUCUGAUAACAGCAGAAGAAUCCACUUCAGUGUAGAGGGAAUUCUAAGUGUAGAUUUUCUACUUCAUUGAUAGAAACUGGGCUAUUUGUCACGAAAAUUUUAAAUUUAAGUAAAGAAUAUAAGUAGAGUUAUGCUAGCAAAAGCAAAAUUUGAAUUUGAGACUUUAAAUAGAAGAAGGUUUAUAUUUUCUCCCUUUCUUUCAUUUUUAUUUUUGGUUUUCUGAGACAAGUUCUAACUAUGUAGGCUCAAACUCAUGGUCCUCCUGCUUCAACCUUUAUGUGCACUUUUUCUGGUCUUGAAACACAGCUUUACUGUGUAGCCCAGACUGGCCUAAAAUCUGUAAUCCUCCUGCCUCAGCCUCCUGAGUGCUGGGAUUAUAGAAAUGCACCAAUGUGACAUUCCUUCCGGUCUUGAUUAACUAUUUCACUCCCUAUAAUACCCUGUAAAUUUUCAAAAAGGAAGGUAUCAAAGGCUUCUCAUUCUUAGGAAGUCUGUCGAGGGGCUUGGGGAAGCUGGAGUCCACUGUCACACUUCUGCUUUCUCUAUGGCCACACAGACAUUUAAGGAGACAUCAGUUAAUGCCUUACAGAGUCUAGCAGAACGUUCAGUGGCUGCCUCUGCUGCCUCGCUCUGAUCUCACCAACAGGGAGCUAUGUGUGAAGGAACAGGAUGUGUCCAGAUGCUGGGGGCUGGGUGUUUCACUUUCAGUUUGGGGGAGAGUCUGUUGCUUGGCUGUGAGAACAUUCUCGCCCUGACAGUAGCUGUGGCCACCUUUUGCUUGAGCAGCGCAGACAACUGGUUCUUAUCAGAUGGGAGUGUGAAGACGACUCUGAGCUCUGAGCUCUCGGAAUUUCAAAGAAGGCACUUUGUAAGUCAAACUCAACUAACUUCAUUAUCCUGUGAUGCAGGCUCCUCCAAAUGGCCGCAGAAACGUACUACUGUCUACAGAUCCCACAGCAGGAGUGAGAUUCGGAGUUCUACAGUGGUAAGGGCAAAGCAGUGUGAUUUUAAAUAAAAAUACUAUCAUGAUUGUGCAUUAAGAUGGGUCUGCUAUGUCUGCUGUUGCUUGCUAUGUUACUUUAUUUAUUUAUGUUUUCUUUUUUUUGGAGCUGGGGACUGAACCCAGGGCCUUGCGCUUGCUAGGCAAGCGCUCUACCACUGAGCUAAAUCCCCAACCCCGCUAUGUUACUUUAACACAAAAAUUGUAUUGGUUUCUUUGUGAAACAAUGCUUCAAAACAGGACAUUUUGUGUAUAACAUUUCAGAUCUGUGAUUAGGCUUGUGGGUAGCACCGUGGUAGCAUCCCAAUGUUCUGGGUUUAGUGUCCAGCACAAAAAGAGAACAGUAGAUGGAGAAACUGUCUUAUGUUCAUGCACAAAGAUAUCAGUUGUUGAAAAUCGAGAACUAAUCAAAAAACUUUACAGAACUACAACAACCAAAUUAACACUGGAGAGGAGAGAGGUUCAUGGAAGAUUCUGGAAAGGUGGGCUUCCGGGGGUGGUAGGUAGCAUCAAUCACCAUAUUUCAGUCAUACAAGAUAGAGAUACAUGAAAAAAAAUGGUGACAGCUAGACUUGGGAAUUUCAGGUGCCAGCCAGCAUGGUCCCCAAAGGCUCUACCCACAUGCCACUUCCCCUCUGGAACCCCGCCGAACACUGCCACCUCCAACUGGAACUUCUUUUCCCAGUGCUACUGCACUUUGACUUCUUACAGAAGUACAAGUGUGCUGUUUGUAGAUAUUUCUGCGAUUGCAGCUCUCCCUUCUAGCUGUCUUCACGGUUCUCCAAGGCACUGGAGAACCCCUUCGUCUUUACAAACCCUCCCUCCUACUCCCUCCCUCCCACUCCACAGCUUCCCACAAACUCCUUAUUCCACUGCUCAGCGCUGACGGACAGAUGCAGCCAGCAGAUCCGUGCAUUUUCUAAGACCGCCCAGGCCCCACUGACGUUACUUCCUAAUACCUUAACAGUUCAGUUAACACGCGGCCGCUGAGCCCACCAAUGCCCAUGGACUGGGCUAGGAAUCAGGAUGCAAAUAUACGGUUCUUCUUUGUUUUGUUUUGUUUUUUGAGACAGGGUUUCUCUGUGUAGCCCUGGCUGUCCUAGAACUUACUCUGUAGACCAGGCUGGCCUCGAACUCAGAGAUCCACCUGCCUCUGCCCCCUGAGUGCUGGGAUUAAAGAUGUGCACCACCAAAUCAAAUGUAAGGAUGAACAAUGGAACCAGAGUCUGACAAAGACUGUGUGUGUGUGUGUGUGUGUGUGUGUGUACCCGUGCGUGCGUGCGUGCGUGCGUGGGUGCGUGCCAGGGGCAGCCAUGAAUAAGCCCCAAGCGGAAGAGAGUCUGAAUAAUGCUGGGCCUCGAGCAUUCUAGACACGUGUUCUGCAGUGUGACAAGUGCUGCCUGUCGUCCAACUGCUGAGGCACACAGAGGACAAGUGACUGUGUGAGCUAAUUAAAAAGAGUCUCACCAAUCUUCCCGGCUGCCCUUGGUCCAUUCCCUGCCCUAGCCUCUUGAGUAGCUGGGAUCCCAGGUGUGCACCAUCACGCCCCACGGAAGGACAAUUUUUGAUGUUCUGUUGCUCAAAAGGGUAAAGUAACUAUGGGUGACAAAAAUGAACACUUCAAAUUAGCUAGUAGAGGAUUCUGAAUAGUCCCAUCACAGAGGUAACAAGUAUCUGAGGUGACAGGUACGACGAUGACACUGAGCUGACCAUUAUAUGUUGUGUGCUAUUCUAUAACGUCACACAGUAUUUCAUACAGGCAUUGCGUGUUAAUAAAUAAUAAAUAAAUAAGGGUUAAAAUGCAACAGGAGGAAGAACUGGGGUAAUAAGUAUGCCUUUUCUGUAUAACUAAGAUAAAGUUUCACAUUUCUGUGGCUUUAUAUUUUUAAUAUUUUAACAUUAUGGGCUUAUUACUUUCAUAAUCAGAAAAUAAUAAGGAUUAUAUUAAACUAAAAACAAUAAUAUGGGAUUAAUCCAGGACAGAAAAGUAUAGAGCCACUUUAAAAAUCAGCAUUGUACUGGGCAUGGUGGCACACACCUUUAGUCCCAGCACCCAGGAGGGCAAGGCAGAGAAAGGUGGCUCUCUGUGAAUUUGAGGCUAGCCUGCUCUAUGUUGUGAUUUCCAGGAGAGCCAAGGCUAUGUAAAGAGACCCUGUCUCAACCCGCCCCCCGAACAUCACUGCAGAUGUUCAGCCCACCAAACUUAUUGGCCAGAAGAAGCUUGUCAUCCUAAACGAUUCCUUCUCCUCUCACUCCAGUUCAGUCACCAACAUGUCUCAGUCAUUUCCCAUGAUUGCUGCUGUGAUGGGCUGACCGUUUGUGUCCCUCAGAGCUCCUAUGUUGAAGCUCUAACCUGCUCCAUUUGGAGAUGUGGCCUUUGAGGAAGUAAUGAAGGUUAAAUGAGCUUAUGGACACGGCCCUGAUUGGAUAAGAUUAGACUCUUUAUAAAAGUCACAGCAAAGAGAAGAACGUGAAGGUACAGCGAGCAGGGCCACAGCUAUCACCACAGCACACACUGCACACCACACCAGGAUCUGGAGCCUGAGACAGAGGCUGGUGAGUUGGGAGCUGGAGUACACAGUAAUACCUUGCUUUUUAAAAUAGCCAGAACAUUCCCAACGCCCCCAAACGAAAUAAACCGCCAAUCAGACAAGAAAGGUAACAAGAUAGACACACACAUAUGGACCAAGAACGUAUUAGAACCCAAUCUCGACAGCACCCUGACCUCGGGCCUCAGCCUCCAUAGCUGUGAGAACACAGGGCUCUUCAGGGUAAGCCACCAUGUGUGGUAUUUGUCAUGGCUAACCAACCAAUUAGCAUCCCCCCACCCCGCCCCAUGUUCUACCACUGUCCAAGAGAGACCUGUUCCUUCCUCUGAGCUGGCCCUUACUCGUCCUCCCAUCUCUGGGAGUUAGAGCAAGACUACAGAACUCUUGUGCUACCGACGGCUGUGCAAACUUCAACAAGCUGCUUCACCUCUCUGUGUCACUGACAACAGGAUUGUUCCAGCCCGGUAAAGUAUUUACCACAGUACCUUACACACUAGAAGCAUUUGAUGAAGGUUAGCUAUUACUAUCUUUUUUUAAAAAUAUUUAUUUAUUUUAUGUGUAAGUACACUAUAACUGUCUUCAGACACACCAGAAGAGGGCAUCAGAUCUCAUUACAGGUGAUUGUGAGCCACCAUGUGGUUGCUGGGAUUUGAACUCAGGACCUCGGGAAGAGCAGUCAGUGCUCUUAACCGCUGAGCCAUCUCUCCAGCCCCCAGCUAUUACUAUCUUAAAAUACUUUUGAGAUCUUAUUUUUAUUUUAUGUGUACGGUGUUUUGCCUGCCAGUACGGCUGGGCAUCGCAAGCAUACAGUGCCUGAGACCAGAAGAGGUGUCUGAGCUUCUGGAACUGGAGUUGCAGAUGGUCGUGAGCCACCAUGUGGGUGCUGGGAAUUGAACCUGGGUCCUCUGGAAGAGCAGGUGGUGCUCUUAACCUCAGCUAUUACUGUUACAUUAUCAGGUUAAGCUUAGACCACUCAUGGCAUUUCCAUGACUGAACACCCAAAUAAUCUCCCCGCUGCAGAAGGACAAACCGUCAGCAUGACCCGAAGGCUCCAAAUGUACCUUCAAAUCACACUAUGGGAACCCAACCCCUCUCCCCACCCCACCCUCCCCCACCCCUCCACACACUGUUAUCCCCUUGGCUCCCAUGCCAGGCUUGCCCUCUGCUUCUGCUGGCCGGCUCCUGUCGCUAUCCUAGGUUCCACCCACUCAUCCCUUUCCUAAGGGGCCUCUGACUGCCUCAGCUUGGCUUCGCUGCUCUUUUCCUGCAGUGUGCAAACAUGUAUAACUCUCACCCACCAUGUUACUAAAGUAACCUGUUUCUGUUCCCACUAGACAGAAACUCUUCAAGGUCAAGGGCCCAGUCUUCAUCUUCUGUUUUUAAUUCGGUGUAAAUCCAGUAGACAUCAGAAAAUGCGGGGCACAGAAUGGAAAUGAACUCUUGCUAUGGCUUGAAUAUGGGAUCUUUCCCACGGGCUCAUACGUUCAAGCACAUGGCCUCCGACUGACAGCGGGGGCCUCAUUGAUGGAUGGAGGAUACUGGAGACAGGCUUCUGAAGGAUGCAGUGUGGACCUCUUGGUCUAGUUCUUUAUUUCUUGGUUGGUCAAGACAGGAGCAGGCUCCUCCGUGCCAGCCUGUUUUCCCCGUCUGGUGCUCACCUGUGAGUCAGGACAAGUCUCUCCUCCUGUGAGUUGCUUUGACUGGUAUUUUGUCACAGUGACAAGAGAGGUAACUAGCACGACUCUGGGACCUAGACACCUUCCCACAGGAAGCAGUGCAAAUCACUACUGCCUCACAUCACCCUUUAAUUCGCUGAUGGAGGAGCCCAGCCGCGUGGCUCAGGGCAGACAGGCACUGCUGUCAAGCCUUAGGAUUUUGAUUUCUGGAUCCCAUGUAAUGGAAGGAAAGAAUCAACUCCCACAGGUUGCCCUCUAACCUCCCAACAUGUAUGCAUGUGAGUGCCCCCCCACCACACACACACACACACACACACACACACAAAUACAACUAAAAACCACACAGACUGCCGUAGCCUCUUCCUGAAGCACGGGUGUCCUGUCUUACACACUCUAUGCUUCUCACUACAGGAGAAGGUCUACCCUGUCACCCUGUGCUCUGAGCCUGAGUUCUCCGAUGUCCCCAAACUCUGGCCACACAGCUCAGCUUGUUGCCUUUGUAUAUAGCUCCUUCUGCCAGGAAUGUCUUCUCCCUUGCCCUGAGAAAUCCUCAGUCAUUGUAAACGUCCUGUUCCUGAGUCACUGUGCUCCAAGCCCUUCUAGGUCACGCUCUGGGAGAACGAGCUGCUUGGCCCUGUGCUGGCACACGCUGUCACUCCGACAGCACAGCGCCUGCUAAGUUAUUAUCCUCUGUCCUACCCGUGAGAGUCCAACAGCAAGGGCUGAGUCUUGCUUAGCUUCGGAUCUCACGGAACCUGGCACUAUGGGCAGGAUAUUACUAAGACCUCGCUAUGUUUGUACUCUUAGCAUCAAUUAGUCUACAGAGCGGCUAAAGGAGGUGAGAAUCGGUUGUGUACCACACCACCACACUAAGAAGGUGGGUUGUGUUAUACCCGACUACGCAUCAGGAUCCAUCUUUAUUUUAAAAGAAUAGAAAACGCCAGAGUCACAGUUUUUGCUUGUGUGUGUGUGUGUGUGUGUGUGUGUGUGUGUGUGUGUGUGUACAGGUUGGAACAAUGCGGGUGAUUUGUGGGUUAGCACAGUCCAUUACUAGGGUCCUGCUAUGUAGCUAGGCUUGUGUUACAGUUCUCCUUCUUCUUGCCUCAGCUUUCUAAUGUUGGCUCAACUAUCAUUCCUGCCUACAGGCAAUAAAUAGUUAUUUACAGCCUUGUCAACCACAGAACAAAACAACAACAACAACAACAACAACAACAACAGCCCAGAAAAUGGAAGGAAUCAAAACCAAACCAACCAACCACUCUUAAGUAAAAGGCGACCUUGUAUAUUAAGGAAGAAGAAAGACGUCAAGCUGGCUAUUGGUCUUUCCACUCAAGGUCUUACUUGUUUCUGAUGUAAAGACAGGGGGAAAAGCCUUCCUACAAAUCCACUCCUUCAUUUCGCGUGGAUUUCGUCUUUUUUUUCCUGUGAAAAUAAAGAGCUACUGUUUUAGAACUUGCCACAGGGCAGUCCUGUGAUGGUGUCAGAAGCUGGACACUUAGUAGGGCUGAUAAAGGGAAACAGGCUGUGCUUCAUCAGCCCGCCGACCCCUGCCUCCCCGCUCGACCCUUUUUCCUAUGUAGAUGAUGUGAAGAAGACGGACUGUUUCGGAAAUCCCGCUGUGACCGGCAGACCCCACAGGUGGUUUGGACUCGGGUUAGGCACCAGCUUUUGCCUUUUUUUUUUUAAAUCAGUUCAUCCAUUGAAUCCAUGUUUGACUCCAUGAGAGGAGUGAGCAAUCAACAGCAUACAAUCACAUUAAUGGCUGACAUCCAUUCAGCCACACAGACUUAUUGAGCAUCUUCUACAUGCCAGGGAAUGGCACUCACUCCACGGCAGCAGAGUUUAAUUAUCUCUAUCAGACUGUUUCCCUAGAAUAGCAUUCUUGGGAGACAAUGCUGGCACCGUGCUUUAUGCACAGGAGACCUUCAGUAACCUUUAAUAACUGGAGAAGACUGGAGACGAGAAUGGCAGGGAGAGGGCGAGGCACAGUGCUGAGGAGCCUGGGGCGCUUCCAACACGCUGACAGUGUCUGACGGUGGUCUUUGCCCGUUGCUGGGAUUGUCCCAUGUGGCUAAUUGAUCGGCCAUCGAAACCCACACACCUCCUCCCUGGAGAUCACUGGCUGACUCAGAUUCCUGGUCCAGGAAGAAAGCUUUCCCUGUGGAGGGCUGGGAUGCAGCUCAGGCCCCACAGUGCCUUCCUGGGUUCCACAGUGCUCCUGGCCCCCAUCUUUCUUAGUUUCCUGGUCCCGAGAUGGAACCCAGAGCCCUGCGCAGGCAUUUUGCCACUGAGCCAUAGCCCCGGCCCUACGUUGAUUAAUGCUUGAUUCUUUUUCUUUUCAGACGGGCAGAAGAGGAACAUCAUCACGGACGUCUCGUGGGUUCUUAUUUGUUAGAAUACGAGAUGGCUGAGCAGAACACAUUCUGCCUCGCACAAGGGUUGGGGGUGAUGUGGGCUUCGAGCUUCUAGGUGCUGCCUUUGCAUCCUGGUUGGGAGGAAGCCAUUCCAGGUCACUUUCACAGUGUUGAUGGUCACCUCAUGCUACACCUACAGGGCUACAGCUGUGUCAGAGACCAUAUGACUCACAGGGCUGGAAGUGAUUCUCAUCUGACCCUUUUUAGAGAGUGUGCUAUUCUUGGAGAGUAGGAGCCACAUCUUAGAGAGUAGGAGCCACACUGCCCGCAGCAGAGGUCAGACAUAGGCGUGAGAGGAGCUGGUCGGCUACAAUGGGCAUGGGAGUUCCCAGACAGAACCCUUGCUUUGACAGAAGGUCACAGUAAUCAGUGAAGAGGGGAGACACCUACAGGCAAAGUCAGGUUCUUCUAUGAGAAGUUCUUGAGUCUGUCAGUGUCUUAACAAGUGCUCAGACAUUUAAAUUUCUUACCCACUUUCAAGGCCUGUAAAGGGGAUCAGGGAUUGGGAGUGGGAAACAUAACCAAUAAGGAAAGUGGGGUGUCUCAGAAGUAAGGACUCUUGCUAAACUAGCGAGUCUCCAUGGUAGGAGCUGGACACACCAAAAGACACGGGAAAGCUACAGCAUCUUGCUUUACUGGGAAUGAAGCAACCUACCUUGUUUUUGACUCUGCAAAGCUUUACAGUUUUAAAAUUGUAUUUUACAUUACAUUAAAAUGAAGAUCAGGGGUUGGGGAUUUAGCUCAGUGGUAGAGCGCUUGCCUAGCAAGCGCAAGGCCCUGGGUUCGGUCCCCAGCUCCAAAAAAAAAAGAAAAAAAAAAAAAAGAUCAAUUUUGACACAAUCUAAGUGGAAAAAAAAAAGUGGUGGCCUUUAAUCCCAGCACUCGAGGGGCAGAAGCAGGCAGAUCUCUUGAGUUUGAGGCUAGUGAGUUCCAGGACAGCCAGGGCUACACAGAGAAAUCUUGCCUCAAACAAGAAAGAAAGAAAGAAAGAAAGAAAGAAAGAGAGAGAGAGAGAGAGAGAGAGAGAGAGAGAGAGAGAGAGAGAGAAAGAAAGAAAGAAAGAAAGAAAGAAAGAGAGAGGGGGGGAGGGAGGAAGAAAGAAAGAAAGGAAGGAAGGAAGGAAGGAGGAAAGGAGGGAGGGAGGAAAAAAAGAAACAAAUAACUAAAGCCAGCCAGCCAGCUCCUGGGUCCAAGAGGUGGCCCAGCAGUGAAGAGCACUGGCAGCUCCGCAGAGGACCCAGGCUCAGUUCCCAGCACCCACGUGGAGGCUCACAACCAUGUGAAACUCCAGUCCAAGGGGAUCUGAAAAACUUCUGUGAACUCCAUGGGUACUUAGCAAUACACACACACACACACACACACACACACACACACACACGCAUGCAGGGUAAACACCUGUGGACAUUAAAUUAAAUGAGAAUUACCUCAUUAGUGCAGGUCUGCACCAUUGUCAUUGUCAAUGCUAUAUUGUCAUUCUCUAGCUACUUAACUUGUCACUCGAAUUUAGAUGCUUCACCUUGAGCCGUCUUUACUGUCCCACAGAAUAUCCAGACCUAUCUCUCUCCAUAGAAACCCAAUGACACCCUCCUUGACUAAACCCUUCAGUAAAUUUUCAUUUUGAAAAAAUAAACCCCAAACAAAUCCAAUACCCCUCCCUAAAUCCCAGGCCUUAGGCAUGACCCAUCAGCAUGCCCUGAGCCCUUCUCUCAUGCUAUUCCUGGACAACUGUCCCAGCCAUACCAGCCCCCUACUCUCCUGUGACCUGACAAAUGCUCCUUUGCCUGGGGACCUCUGCACUUGUUCUCUCUAACGUGAACCCUUUCCAUCCAGGCCAAAGGUUACCCCAAGUGCUUCUGGCGUUAUCCUGGCACUCAGAUAUGGUUCACAGGACUUUUCAGUAACAGAAGUGGCCUCCAUGGGUCUUGUGGCCUCCCCUUCAGCUCCUACCCUGAACACUCUCUUUUCACUGUGUGUUUCAGACCUCGGAAGGUGCCUGGACUGGAGACACUCAAGGAAUGCAUUUGCCGACUCGCUCUGCCACGUUUCAUGUACCUGUGUAAUUAAGUACUGACGUUUCUACGGGCAUUUACUAUUUUAAUAAAAUAUUUCUAUUUUGGAAAGCUUUUUAUCAACUGGAUAGCUUCUAAAAAUGUUUCCAACACAGACAAGUUUCUCUGGCAACAGGUAUUGGUAAACAGAGCAAACGCUCCCACAAGUAAAAGGCAAUGUAUUGUUGGAAGUUUAAAUCCAGUCUCUCCUUAUCUUAAACUCAUUUAGUUUUACUUCAUGUGCAUUGGUGUUUGCCUGCAUGUAUGUGUAUAGAGGGUGUCGAUUCUCCUAGAACUGGAGUUACAGAUGACUAUGAAUGCCAUGUGAGUGCUGGGAACUGAACGUGGGUGCUCUGGGAGAGCAUGCACCAUUCCACUCCAGCCCCAGAGGCAAAUGCUGUGCUGGGUCUCUCCAACCUUCCCACGCCUCUCCCCUCUGUGCAAGAGCAGAGCCUCUCACAGCUGCCUCCUCAUCCACUUACCUUCAGAGCCUGCUCCAACCCAACACCAGCUCUCAGCAGUCUCCCUCUAACACUGCUUUUAUGACGCUCAGCAGGGACAUCUGUGCUGCCAAAUCCAGAGGCUGAUUCCUGUCACCUCAGUCAAAUCACAGAAGCUAACCCAUGUGCUUUGUGAUUUCCUCCCAGAAACAUGUAAUUUUUCAGAGCCCCUAAAUCUGAGGCCAGCUCUUGUGUGGAUCUCCACGUGGUAAGAAUGUUAACAGGAGCUGAGUUCAGUUCCUCCCCUAUCUUGUAAUGCUCUUGGGGCAGAAACAGGGCAGUUCUGCCUAUUUUAAACGAGAGCUGUCCUUUGUGACCCACUUAUGCUUAUUUCUUUGUAAAAACAAUAAACCAAAUCGGUAUUAGUAUCCAGGAAACCACAGCCCUGUGACCUUGAUAAUAUAAUGAUUAACAAGGGAUUUUCCCAUCUUACAUUGUAACAUUUUUAUCUGGGUCAUGGCUGCCGAGAACAGACGUUUAGCUGAGCCACUAAGUUCUGACUAAGGACAGCAGUUGAAAUACCAUGUGAUACCUUCCCCCAAGCCUGUCUCUAUCCAGGUACCUGAAAUGCAAAUCCUACCAUCUCUAGAAAGAGCUUGAAGCCAAGGGCAGUGUAGCAAGCAGUAAGACAGAAAGGUCCCUGACAUUAUGGGAUACAGUAACAAGCUUAUAUCACACCAAACCCAGUCUUAUGUGAUCAAAGAAACAAAUGUCCAGCUUGGUAAGCCAAUGGGAGCUACGAUUUUCUGCCAUCCAGAACUGAAUCCAUUUCUAAACACUACCUACCUUCCGUGCUCCACUGUGGCAGGUAUGUCACAGAUGUUUAACAACCACAUCAAAGCAGUGUACUUUCAUGGGAUGAACCACUGUCCAGACAGGCAGGCAGGCAGGCAGGCAGGCAGGCAGGCAGGCAGGCAGGCAGGCAGGCAGGCAGGCAGGCAGACAAGAUCAAGUGGCUCCAGUGAGAGGAGAGUUACUAGCACUUAGGUUUUAAAUGGUGCCAUGUCACGGUAUCUGGCCCCAGCCCUGGUUACCUUUUAUUUUGAGUGCGGGAAGCUGAACCUGUGGUCUCAGGAUGUGAGCCCACCUGUGCUCUCCCAGUGAGUUACAUCUCCAGCCCACUCGUGGUUCACAAUGACCAGGGAGAUAUGCUCCAGAAAUGUGGUUGAAACCAAGCCUCUAUUUCUAGUACACACUCCGCACCACCUUAGACUUCAACCCAUCCCCUCUGUCUGGCACUGCCCCAUCUUCCCUCUUUCCUUGUUUUGCGUUUGUUGUUUCUAACUAGGAUAUCAUGCUCCAUUGCCCAAGUUUGCUCCAACUUUCCCAGGCUGGCCUUGAACCCACGAUUCAGCCCAGCAAGUGGUAGAUUACACGCAUGGGCCACCACAGCCAGUUCCUUCCUUCUUUUCAUUUAUACUGAGGUGGAAUGGGGAGAGUACCCUUUAUUUAUGCUCCUGUUAUGCAACACACACCUCUAGGACACCACGGCCAUUAUUUUAGCCUCAAUACAAAAUAACUAGUUUUUAAUUAAAAAUUCUUAGAUUUAGGGUCAAGAGUUCAAACUGAGAAACCCUCCCUUUGGUGGUGGUGGUGGUGGUGGUGGUGGUGGUGGUGGUGGUGGUGGUGGUGGUGGUUGUUGUUUUGAGACAGGGUUUCUCUGUGUAGCCUUGGCCAUCUGGAACUCACUCUGUAGAGGGGCUAGCCUUGAACUCAGAGAUCGGCCUGCCUCUGCCUUCCAAGUGCUGGUACUAACGGUGUGUGCCACCACUGCCCAGCAAAACCUGUUCUUUUAUUUAUAGCUUAACAGGUUUUAGAGAAGGUUAAAUUUUCUGAAUCUCCAUUUCCUCAUUGCUAAGAUAGGGAUAAAGUAAGGCCAGAAGACCAUCCCAGCCGCAUGGUAACACUGUUUACCUUGUACACACUGCAGUGGUUCAGACAGCUAUGAGCUCAUCACCCAAGCCAAAGUUGUGAAUUAGAACCAUCCAGCUUUCUAGAUUGAAUUGUUUAAUUAACUAAUUAUUAUUGGAUGCAUGUGGGUGAUGUGUGUGUUAGGGCAUGCACAUUCCCUGGCUUAUAUGUAGAGAUCAGGGUAGAGUUCUGUGGGGUCAGUUCUCUCCUCUUUUAUGUGAGUUCUAAGAUUGAACUCAAGUUGCCACUCUUGAGCAGCAGGCUCUUUUACCCCUCUGGGAUGGUUGAAAAUUGCUCGGCCCAGGGAGUGGCAUUUUUUAGGAGGUGUGGCCUUGUUGGAGUAGGUGUGGCCCUGUUGGAGUAGGUGUGGCCUUGUUGGAGUAGGUGUGUCACUGUGGGCAUGGACUUUAAGACCCUCAUCCUGGCUGCCUGGAAGCCAGUCUUCUCCUAAGUGCCUUUAGAACAAGAGGUAGAACUCUCAGCUCCUCCAGCCCCAAGUCUGCCUGGACACUGCCAUGCUCCCACCUUGAUGAUAAUGGACCGAACCUCUGAACCUGUAAGCCAGCCCCAAUUAAAUGUUGCCCUUUGUAAGACUUGCCUUGGUCAUGGUGUCUGCUCACAGCAAUGGAAACCCUAAGACACCCUCUCAGUCCUCUUGCUGGCCCAGCCUUCUAAUUUCUUAUUAUAUCAGACUGUUGGAAUCCUUAAAUAAAUUCACACUGUUCUUAGUCAUUUAUUAAAUCAGUGGACUUAUAGCUCCCAGAACGUUCUUUGGGAUGUAGGUAAAUCUUUGCCAUCUUCUUUUUUUUUUUUUUUUUUUUUCGGAGCUGGGGACCGAACCCAGGGCCUUGUGCUUGCUAGGCAAGCGCUCUGCCACUGAGCUAAAUCCCCAGCCCCGUUUGCCAUCUUCUAAUAGAGUUAAUUAUAAUGUUGAUACUAGUAGGCUCUAAACAGACCGGGGAAAAACACUCCAAGACAAAAACCCCAAACCUCUAUUUAUCAUAUAGAGCUAUUAAAGUAUCAGCUCUUACAUCACUCUGCCAAAGAAUGAAAGGACUUCCUUUUAUCUUGAAGAGUGUAGAGAAAUACUAACAGAAAGACAUUUCUGAGGAAAAAACUGAUGAGCGCUAUCGAGAGCCCAGUAGGACAGGAAGGAUGACUAAUCUCUCGGAAAGCAAGAGUGAGAAAAUGUGAGGUUAGUCCCAGACCAGGCAAAGCAAACCAACCGGCAGAGAUUACCAGCUCUGAGCAAACAAAAGGCCCCCGAAAAUCACCAUCAUGUGCUACCAUGUGUGUCUGCCAUUCUAGCCGUUAUAAAUAUUAUUUAACAAACAAAUACUCAUUAAAUGUUUCUCAUGUUCUCAGCACUGGCACAAAAAAGAGGAAACUUUGUAUGAUGUCUAUUAUUACAAGGUAACAACACUAAUUACAAAAUGGACAGUAAGAGACUUAUUUAAAACACACAACAGGGGUUGGGGAUUUAGCUCAGUGGUAGAGCAACAAGGCCCUGGGUUCGGUCCCCAGCUCCAAAAAAAAAGAAAAGAAAAAAAAAAAAAACCCACAACAACACAAAGCAUAACUUCAGACGCGUAUUCAAGCGAAGGCUGUAUAAUUCAUAAAUUAUGAGGAAUGGAGAAGCGAGAGCUAAUAAAAUCAUAUAAUUUAUUUAUCACCAUCGUCACUGUUACUGUCCGCACUACUGCAGCGCUGGGGACCAAUCCUGUGGCCUUGCGCUUGCCGGGGAGUGCUCUACCACUGAGCGAUGGCUCCACACCAGGCUCAGGCUCUGAGGGUCUGGAAGGCAAAACAUCCCUCAGAGAAGAAAGGAAGACAGGCCUGGUGGUGUAAGCCUGCAAUCCCAGUAAUGGGAGCUGUGGCAGGAGAAUGUGAGGUCAACCUGGGCUACAUAGCAAGGCCCUGUCUCGAAAUACAGGAAAGGGAUGCAGCGUAAGGACUAAGACCCAGGAGGCAGGACUGACUGAAAGAGCAUGGCAGUAAACAGCACAAAAAAGAUGGAAGGCACAUGGCUAACAAAACAAACAGGUUAGAGCCGGGACGCAGUGAGGUGUGCUACAAAGCCUUUAGUCCCAUAACUCAAGAGGCAGAGGCCAGCUGGUCUUUGUGUCCAGCCUGUUCUGCACAUCGAGUUCCUGGCCAGCCACAGCUACAUUGUGAGACCCUGUCUGUCAGACAACACCAUGGCCUGCAGAGCGAAGGGGAGCACUGAUGUAAGAACUAGGCACUGAGUGACAAAGACUUUGAGCAUGGCUCCAGCUGUUGAGGAAGAAACACCUUGGGGAGCAGGGGAUGGGGCAGUGGGCAUCUAGACAAAUGACCACAGUGUGCGGCUGUGAGGAUGACCAUGCAGCUAUGAAGUCCGAGUGUGCUAUGAAUACAUCCUGAUAUCCUUUCCCAUUGCAAACAGGAUGCUCUCUGGCCUCUAAAUUCCAAGAGUUUCAAUGAAACUCAAAGAACUGAGAAGGGAGGGGUUGGGGAUUUAGCUCAGUGGUAGAGCGCUUGCCUAGGAAGCGCAAGGCCCUGGGUUCGGUCCCCAGCUCCGAAAAAAAAGAACCAAAAAAAAAAAAAAAAAAAGAA